Molecule: long non-coding RNA, 401 nt
Organism: Leptinotarsa decemlineata (Colorado potato beetle)
Lineage: Eukaryota; Metazoa; Arthropoda; Insecta; Coleoptera; Chrysomelidae
Gene: btsz
Source: RefSeq, a predicted model, not a curated record
AUUCUACAAUCUCCAACAAGUUAGGAGGUAGGUAGUAGGUAUACACAAAAGUGAAAUCCCUCGGUAACAGCCGGGUCUCUGUUGUUUCUAAGUGCCUUUUAGUCGAAAAAUGUGAACAGUGUGUUUUCGGUGAUCCGCGAGUGAAUUUAUCAAGUGUAUUUUGGAGUUUUUCAAAUCGAAAACCGGUUUGGGUUUCCCUUCUUACUCACCAUUGGGAUCUCUUAUAACGACACAAUAAUAACAAUAAUCUCGAGUUUACAUCAGUGUAUUUCUAUCGACUAGUGAAACCAUCAACAUGGAGCUACUGAAAUUUAUCUAAUAUGACAUCUAUAGCGGCCUGUUUGAUUCCUGAGGAUAAAGGGCACCUGAAAGCCGAACUACAACACUUGAGACGCAAAGGA